Molecule: non-coding RNA, 113 nt
Organism: Acanthosepion pharaonis
Lineage: Eukaryota; Metazoa; Mollusca; Cephalopoda; Sepiida; Sepiidae
Source: the annotation of a GenBank genome assembly
UUACGGUCACAUCACAUUGAAUCACCUCUUCCCAUGCGAUCAUCGAAGUUGAGCAACGUUAAGCCUGCUCAGUACUUAGAUGAGUGACCGUUUUGGGAAUGUCAUGUUCUGUA